AGUGCCUGCCCAACAGAGAUCCAGCUUGUCCUUGUGCCCAGCUUUCCUGGCCAGUUAGCUGCCACAAGCUACGAACCCAAGCUGCAAAAUCAAGCCAUGAACUUAAGCUAUCUUCAGGACUGGUAACUAUGCAGCAACUGCAGAACCCCUGAUGAAUGUGUGUGUGUGUGUGUGUAUAGGUAUUAGGUAUAAUGUGUGUGUAUAUAAGAAUUAAGAUAUUAGUUAUUAGUCAUAAAUUGUUAUAAUAAUAAAUGUGGCAUCUUUGCCUUGUCCCCUUUAAAAA
Molecule: long non-coding RNA, 283 nt
Organism: Gopherus flavomarginatus (Mexican gopher tortoise)
Lineage: Eukaryota; Metazoa; Chordata; Testudines; Testudinidae
Exons: 2
Source: RefSeq, a predicted model, not a curated record